Molecule: long non-coding RNA, 1669 nt
Organism: Poecilia reticulata (guppy)
Lineage: Eukaryota; Metazoa; Chordata; Actinopteri; Cyprinodontiformes; Poeciliidae
Source: RefSeq, a predicted model, not a curated record
CUUGUGCCACGCAGUCUUUAGACAGCUGCUCAUACACUCCCUUCUGAGGCUGGAAAAGGGUCUAUUGUACAAACAAGGCCAUCAGUGUUGGUUUCCCCGGAGCCUCAGCGGUGGGCAUGGACGAGUGGAAGAUGAAGAGCUUCCCGCUGCACUCUGCUGCCUGGAAGGACGACAACAGAUCACACGCAAAUCUGACUGGUGAAAUGAAUGUUACAACACCACUGAGAGGGGAACCCCUGGCCCAAAACCUUCAUACUCGACUGAGCUCUGGAAGAACCAGCUCAACGCCAUCUUGAAAAAAAGCUCAGCGGUGAAAGGAGACAAACAAUUAGUUGCUUGGCAUCACUGAAGGCAAGUUCUAACUAUUGCUAAUUGAUUUUCUUUUUUUUCCAGAACUUCCUGUAAUCAUUUUAUUUGUGUGUAUUUCUGAUGCUCCUAUAGUGAGAGAUUAAUUACAGUAGAGCUACAUGAGCUCUGCCAAGACUGUCAAUAGAAUAACAAACAUCCUUCUACAAAUAUACUAGAUAGAAGCUUGUUGAUGGUGGUUUCUCUGCAGCAUGCUGAAAGAUAUUUAGCAAAACAUUUGAGCUUUACUCAAACUUGUAUUUGUAUUUCUGACCCUGUAAACUAAGAAAACCCAUCAUAAAUUCAGAGUUGUACCUUGAAUUGUUAUUUUUAAACUUCAUUACACUUUUGUGAUGCCAUUUUGCGACCGUUUUGUGGCAUCACAAAACGGUCAAAGCUAAAAUAAAAUGCCUACGAGACUAUGAAAUCAUCUGGAGCUGGACUGUGAAUUACGAAAGAGGGUUCUUACUAAAUCUGAUUUUGAAAACCUCUGAACAAAGAUGGUUGAGCUGCAUGAGGCAAAACGGACAAAGAAGAAGAAGAUGAACAGUUUAGACAAGAACCUGGCUUAUCUUUGGGCUUCACUGCAUUGUUUCAUUUAACAAGAAGACCUUCCAAGUCAAGUAUAAACAUCCCUGUAUGACUGGAACACGAUCCCUGAGGGGUUUGUUUGGUGAUGUUUGGCUUCUUCUGAGGGCUAUAUUUGUGAUUCAUGGACUCAUGAAUAAAGAACCUCUUCAUCUCACCAUUGGCGUUAGGUCAGUCUACAGGUAUUCUGUGAGUCUGCAGAUAUUCCACAAACACCCACUGAUAUUUACCACAACACAGAAGACAAUCACACUUUGCCAACACUGCAAGUGCCAAAUGCUAUUUCCAUAUAGUUCUAUUUCACUUAUCCACAUUCGUAUUCCCUUUAAAGGAAAAGCACGACUCAUUAACGGCUCUGACGUGUCCUCACUCUACAUAAUUUGGUUUGCUUUUUAAUGUAACUUUUUAAUGAAUGCCAUAUUAAUUCGGCACACAUUUGGCAGGACAGGUGGCCAACAUAAAGCAAGUCGAACUGAACUGACAGAUUUUUAUUCACAGUAUGUUUUUGGCAUCAUCUGAGCUAUAAAGUCAUGACAGCAAAAAGAACAGAUAUUGUUGCUGGCACUAAAGGAGCAUGUAAGGAGUAACCUGGAGAAGAGCAAGCUGUUCUCAAAGAUAAAUCAAAAUGUCAGCAAAAUGUGGCUGAAGCUCAAGGAGUUCUGUUUUUAUCAUUUCACUGAUAGCAAAACUAUGAAACCUUCACUUGACUAAAAGAACAAACUGUUUUUGCUGAUUU